AUGAGAUUUCGCAAUUCUUGUACGUUUUUGUUGUACAUGCUCGGGGACAAUGGGAAAUGAUGAUAUAUCAUUAACUUAUCAAAACUUGCACGAUUCUUUGCUUAUCAACGAGGCGAUUGAUUAGAUAAGUCGGAUGCAUAACUGAUUGAUAAAUAUUAUAAAGGUAUGUACAUUGCAUGUACUUUGUUAACGCACUGAAAAAUAAUAUUAAUAUCAUGUGAAAUUACGUUAAUCUCGAAGAGAGCGAUACAUCAAGAAAUGUUUUCAAGAUAGCAUAUUCAAAUGGAUCAACCAAUAAAUAUCGAAGUGUCCAUCCAUCAACUAGAAAUUAUGUGAUAUACUGGAUAACAUGAUUGAUGAGUCAGAUUUGAGUUCCAAAGUUCCCGCACGUUCGAGUGAGACAUACUUCCAUCGAUCCAUCGCAGAAUUGCGGCGACGAGUCAGCUGACAAGUAUCAUCCGUUAGUUAAAAAUUUUAUUGCGAUCAUAUGAAUCAAGCAACAUAAACAAAUAAAUUACAGCUUGUAGUUUCAUGAUAUUUCGCGAAAUUUUUGAUAAUUUCAAAAAGGAUAAAAUGUAUGAGCGAGCGGUCCAUAGAGAGAAGAUCACGCUUGCUAAACGAAGAUCCCAAUGAUGACCGCGCGAAUCUGACUGCAGAAUGACGGAAUCGCGAUUUAUACCUGCGUUACGCAAUAGAUUACUGUAUAUUUCCAGCGAUUUCGCAGAUGAUCGCGCGCAUGAUUCAACGGUUCGAGCGUCCUCGAACUUUCAUCGAGCGGGACGUCGCGUGCGAGCGAAUCGACCGACGAAGGAUUCGCGUUUGUCGUUCCGAGACAAUUCGCGGACGUCCCGGGGUGUCGAGGUUGAUGGUGUGCCGAAGGAGUGGAUGUCGUCGCGUCUGCACGCGGGACAACGUCGCGACGAAGAGAGGACUUCGCCGUUUCACGCGGCACUGAGAAGAAUCGCCGCCGGCUCAUUCAUCGCUGGCGCCCCGCGAACGCACCCUCCACUCACCCCCUGAACAAACGGCGUCGCGCAGGCGUUGCAUCCGCGGCCCCUUUGGUGCACGUCUCUUUGGUCCCUUGGUGGCGUCGCGACGCGUCCGUCGCGUCGUCGCGGAGGAGAAGCAACCA
Ooceraea biroi (clonal raider ant) is the source of this 1132-nucleotide long non-coding RNA. RefSeq lists it as uncharacterized. NCBI's taxonomy places the organism in Eukaryota, Metazoa, Arthropoda, Insecta, Hymenoptera, Formicidae. The record is from RefSeq and is a predicted model, not a curated record.